CCUACGGGAGGCUGCAGUGAGGAAUAUUGGUCAAUGGACGAGAGUCUGAACCAGCCAAGUAGCGUGAAGGAUGACUGCCCUAUGGGUUGUAAACUUCUUUUAUAUGGGAAUAAAAUGUUCCACGUGUGGGAUUUUGUAUGUACCCUAUGAAUAAGGAUCGGCUAACUCCGUGCCAGCAGCCGCGGUAAUACGGAGGAUCCGAGCGUUAUCCGGAUUUAUUGGGUUUAAAGGGUGCGUCGGUGGGUUGUUAAGUCAGUUGUGAAAGUUUGCGGCUCAACCGUAAAAUUGCAGUUGAAACUGGCAGGCUUGAGUACAGUAGAGGUGGGCGGAAUGCGUGGUGUAGCGGUGAAAUGCUUAGAUAUCACGAAGAACACCGAUUGCGAAGGCAGCAUACUGGUGCACAACUGACGCUCAGGCACGAAAGCGUGGGUAUCGAACAGGAUUAGAUACCCUGGUAGUC
Molecule: ribosomal RNA, 460 nt
Filed under: uncultured bacterium
Lineage: Bacteria
Description: partial 16S ribosomal RNA
Rfam family: Bacterial small subunit ribosomal RNA
Source: RNAcentral